UGUUGCCACAGCUGUCCUGGAAAAGACUAACAGAAGCAAAGAUUCCAGACAAAACAACUGGUGCCAUUGGGCCCUCUGACCACCAACUGCAGAAAAAGCAGGAGAAGUGUCUUGCCCAAGGACACAAUAACCCACUGGUUAAACGACGAACUAGCUCCUGCACCACUGUUGUCCUUGAUUGAAGAGGUUGAAGUUAGUUUUCAGGUAAAGCUCAAAGCAUUUUGGGAAUCAAUUCAAAGUAAAACCCUACUUUGUUUGAGGCCUUGCUGUUUUUUAUGUGGUCUGAUAGGAAAUGAGGCAGAGAGACGUGCAGCAAAGUUCUCUGUCCAUGAGGACUCAAGGAUAAGGACACCUGCAUUGAGGAUUGACACCUCUGUGCAUGAAUUACUCACCCUACCCUUGCUAAAUUUCUGCAAACUGAUUUACUCUUUGCUGGACUCAUGAACCUUUAGGAUGUACUCCAUCUCUCACCCAGUCAAUGUUUGAUAUUGGCUCCAGCCUCCCUAGACUCCCUAAGACCAAACUGAUGUAGGCAUUGGAUGGAUGAUAACCCAUCUUUCUAAGAUUACUAAAGGAAAACACGACCAAAAAACAAAAAGCUUGUGAUUAGCUGCUGAGGGCAUAAAGAGAGAGAUAACCAUUGUUAGUGGUCACAACUUUAUAUGUUCUAAAUCCAGAGAUUCAAUUUAAAAAUUUGGAUUUGAACAGGUUAUUUUAAAGGAGUCCAAUCUAAAAGCUAACUAUUACCUGCAUGUUUGAGGUGCUUGUCUAAUUCUGUACAUUAAUGGGGGGAAAGUGACUCCAGUUUGCACAUACUCAUUUGGAGAGUCCACAAUUACUUGGCAAUUUAUAAACGAUCCUAUUCUUCAAAAGUGACUUCAUGACAUAUCAUGGAGGAUGGCUCAUGGGAUUCUGCCGGUCAGGACCGUCAUGCACUCCCAGGACAUGUCAGCUAUAUCUAAGUACUCCCGACCUGGUUGUGGCGCGCCUGAGUCGGUGAGGCACCUGGUCUAAGAGUGCAGUGCUGCCGUAGACCAGUGGGCGAAGCCUGGUUCCUUGCAAUUCCCGUACUUACCAGCAGGGGAGGUCCUUCUUACCAGAGUGGAUUCUUAAUGGGUGAGCUGCAGCACACAAGUUGUAAAGAACACUGUGCCAAGCAUUAGCUCACCCUUGCUGCCAUCAAUGAUACCAUAUAGACCUCCAGAAACUUGCUGGUGAGAAAGCACAAGCAGAUUCCCCCCGUGGCUGUGAUCCAGGUGGCAGAAGCAAAACAAAGCCCGGCACAGCUGCAAGCUGCUGGGAGCAAAGAGAGGACACAGCCACAAAGAAGCAUCGCCUCUGUGCCCAUUCGGACGAAGGAACCAGAGCCACACAGGAAAAGGUCAAAGCAGCAGCGGCCUGGCUCUCCGGGUGAGGCAGGUGGGCAGGAGCAUCAGGGUGGGCAUCCCCUCUGACCAUCAACACUGUUUGCAAGAAUGGGGCGGUUAUUUGAAAUUGUUAAGACAUCACCUCACUCCUGUGUAGAUUUUAAACAUGCAGUGUUACUUUUAAAAUGUUCUAUGGGAAAAUCUCAUACAAACCAUUUUUAAAAAUUAUUUAAAACAUCGACAUUAUGACCAAGGUCUGAGAGACAACCUUGGCCCCAGUUCCUACCUCCUACAUGCCCCAGCAUGCCAAUCAACAAGCUGAGCUUUUAGGAGUUAGCUGUAGCUCUGUUUUCUGCCCUCUGGUUCUAGUAUUUGGAUAUGCAGGGAGGGUGACCUUGUGACAGUCAGCUGCAAGGCUGGUCUGAGGCUUCUUCACUUUUAUUUGUUUUGGUCAAGAUUCCCAGCUCUGUUGGUUUAUUAUGUGAUUAUCAUUUUUCUUUAAAACUAACUUCAACCUCUGCUAUUGGUCAGAACUUUAUAUGUUAUCUGUCCUUUGACCAUCUUUAAUGUAUGGAGAGAAACAGGUUGUUAAAACCUUUCUGCCUCAGGACAUUGAAAACAUCAUGCUUAUGAUACAUAAAAACGCUGAUUACCUCUGUGGCAGACUGGUGAAAUCUCCAGGGUGUAACCUAGCCCCUGACCAAAUGACUACUGGAUAUUACCCACAGCUCAUAAAAUCCUCUUAGUUUGAAGGAUUCUUUAAAGUAGUACAACAAGUCAGUACCACUAUCAUACAGACUUGACAGAUUCUAUGCCGGAUGCACUUCAUGACACAAAAGGGCUUUAAACACCGACACUUCUCAAGAAUCCCCAAAUUGUUCCUCUGGCCACCCUCGUAGUACAAGUGCUCCUCUACAAUGCAAACUUUAUCAACUGUCAGUGCCCCUUUCAAGAUUCACCGAUCCACAACCAGGAUCAGAAGGACAAUAGAAGGCAAUCACUCCCUCCACCAAUCUCCUGCCUAGCUCAACCUGUGUGGAACUACUCACCUCAUCUACACCAAGGUCCACUGUUUCUCCUUCCCUGCAUCCGUUUGAAGACCUUUCUAUCAGAAUCUUCAAGCCGCUCCUCUGGUGGCUCUCCUGGCACAAGAACUCCUCUGUAACUCAUCACUCACUGACCUGCCUGUCCACCCUUCAAUGUUUCACUGAUCAACAACUCCAACAAGGAAAAGAAGCACCAAAGGAGACAUUAAUAACUCCACCAAUCUGGAUAUCCUUGCCUCCUCUGCACCAAUAUUGGACUCCUGCAAACUGUUCCUAAGUCCCUACAUCUGUCUUAAUAACGCUCCUUAAGAACCACCACACUGCUCCUCCAGCAGUCCUCCUGGCUCACCUGCUUGUCCAUUAUUCAACAAUUCACUGAUCAACAACUCCAACCUGGAAAAAAAGGACAAAAGAAGACAAUGACUAACUCCACCAAUGACAAAGCUCCUUCCUAGCUCAACCUGUGUGGAUAUACUCAGCACAUCUGCACCAAGGCGCUUUUUUCUUGAGGCAGACGCCACAUUGUUCACCUCAUACAAGUGUACUCAGAUGCUGGAUUCCAGCGUAUUGUUCCUCAGUCCCUCCAUCUGUUUUGACAACUCUUCUUAAGAACCGCCCUCCUGGCACACCUGCCUGUCCAUCCUUCAGAGAUUCACCAUAGUCACCUUGCCUGCACCACAGGUCUCCUGAGGAAGACUACAGACUGUUCACCUCCUACAAGUGAUUUUCUGGCUGACCUCCUGGAACAAUGGCUCUUCUUUAAAUCAUCGUUCCCUCACCUCCUGGUGAACCCUCCAACAUUUCACAGAGCCACAACUCACACCUUGACAAGAAAGACCAAAGACACUUGUCAUCUCCACCAAUCUCCUGCCUAACUCAACCAGUGUGGAUAAAGUCGUCUUGUCUGCACCAGCUUUGGAGAUCGCCGACAAUUUUAAAAUCUUGCCACGUGAACCAGCCUUUAUACCUCAGACUUCCAGUACCAGACACACUUCUGUAAUCUGCAGAAAUACUCAGAUGACUUUACAGUCAUUGGACGCAUCAGAGAUGGACAGGAAGCUGAGUCCAGGGAGCUGAUGGACCGCUUUGUGGCAUGGUGUGGAAACAAUCAUCUCAUUCUAAAUGUGUAUAAAACUAAGGCGAUGAUUGUAGAUUUCAGGAGAAACUGGAGUAGUAACAAUACUAUUAGCAUCUUGGG
Fundulus heteroclitus (mummichog) is the source of this 3611-nucleotide long non-coding RNA. RefSeq lists it as uncharacterized. NCBI's taxonomy places the organism in Eukaryota, Metazoa, Chordata, Actinopteri, Cyprinodontiformes, Fundulidae. The transcript is spliced from 8 exons. The record is from RefSeq and is a predicted model, not a curated record.